Molecule: ribosomal RNA, 556 nt
Filed under: uncultured bacterium
Lineage: Bacteria
Description: bacterial SSU rRNA
Rfam family: Bacterial small subunit ribosomal RNA
Source: RNAcentral
UAACAGCCCACCAAGACGAUGAUAGGUAGGGGUUCUGAGAGGAAGGUCCCCCACAUUGGAACUGAGACACGGUCCAAACUCCUACGGGAGGCAGCAGUGAGGAAUAUUGGUCAAUGGACGAGAGUCUGAACCAGCCAAGUCGCGUGAGGGAAGACUGCCCUAUGGGUUGUAAACCUCUUUUAUAAGGGAAGAAUAAGUUCUACGUGUAGAAUGAUGCCUGUACCUUAUGAAUAAGCAUCGGCUAACUCCGUGCCAGCAGCCGCGGUAAUACGGAGGAUGCGAGCGUUAUCCGGAUUUAUUGGGUUUAAAGGGUGCGUAGGCGGUUUAUUAAGUUAGUGGUUAAAUAUUUGAGCUCAAACUCAAUUGUGCCAUUAAUACUGGUAAACUGGAGUACAGACGAGGUAGGCGGAAUAAGUUAAGUAGCGGUGAAAUGCAUAGAUAUAACUUAGAACUCCGAUAGCGAAGGCAGCUUACCAGACUGUAACUGACGCUGAUGCACGAGAGCGUGGGUAGCGAACAGGAUUAGAUACCCUGGUAGUCCACGCCGUAAACGAUG